CACUGGGUACCGCGCUCUGCAGGCACUUAGGAACACCACUUCAUUUAAAAGGAAUUGUUCCAAUUCCUUGCGGGGCCGUAAAACUGCAGCGAGGGCUGGAGCUGGUUUGGUGUCAACUGCAGAAAAUAAAGUUAUGGGAAAUUAAAAAAAAAAACAAACCCACGCACCCCGCUGGUUUCCCUGGCACGCAGGGGGCUGUAAGGAGCCAAGGUGCCCCCCCCCAGCUCGCCUGCCAGCGCCCAUCCCAAGAGCACACCUGUCAAUAGGGCACAUCCAGCAACAGCUGGGGAAAAUUAAAGGCUUAUUUCACUUCGUUUGCCGAUAAUAACUUCAUCUAUCUUUAUUCCGGGCUGCCUCCCACCCGGCAGCCGUCGCUCGCCUGGUGGGAGGGAAUCGCUGACCUAUUUCGUGGAGUUUGCUUAAUCCCAGUGAACCUUCCCAAGCCACGAGGAGAGGGGAAGCUGUGGGAGGACUGCCAAGAAUUUCUGCAAACCCCACAUCAUCUCCAGGGCCGCGGGCGCUUGCUCCGGGUGCAGGGGCCACCUCCGAGUGGGCGCCCAUCGAGGGGUCUUCCCCCGGGCCGCUGGAAUACGGAGGCAGUAAACUGCACCAGCGUUGGAUGCGAAAUAGAGACUGGAAAGCCACCAGGAGGAAUAAGCGGCGCAGGCUAUUUAAAGAGGAAACGAUCAGCUCGGGAGAGAGCUGCAGACAUGUGUCUUCAGGGCUGUGCUGCGUUCUUAGGAGAUUAUUUUAAAUGUGUGCAUCUUUUCUGCAUCACGGUCUAUCUUUGUUCCCCCUCUGACGUCUUGAGUCGGGGAUGGUAUUUUAUGGCCACGGCGGUGCCUGCCAGCAGCACGACAGUUCUGCUGGAAAUUAACUUCUCCGAGCUUUAAAAACCUCGCAGCCAUAAAAUUCAAAGUAAGAGAUCAAACCAGUUAAGCUCAGAUUAAUCUAAGCCACCGGCUCUGGCAGGCGCAGCAUCUAGGCUCCGACGGGGGAUGAAGUGCUCGGGAAGCGCUCGGCAGCGCCGGAGCAGGUGAGCUGCUGCCCUGCUUCUCGUAGCCACGUCCCGUGUCCGUCUGUCCGUCCGUCCCGGCACAGCAUGCUCCCUGCUGCCCGUCCAGACGAGUUAACCCCGACCGUGGUGCUUCCUGCCCGCCCACCUCGGACGGUGGGGCAGAAAUGGGGUGGCUGGCUCUUUUUUGAGCGGGGUCUGCCUUGAGCCGAGUGGGGCUUGUGGGCGCAGCGUGCACGCGAGUGUGCAAACGUGCACACGGGGCGAGGUCGGUGGUGGGUCAGGGGCUAAUGAAGCUCAUGAAAUACAUCCUCCUCUGCUCACUAGGCCAAGUGGAGUGUUUUCUAUCAUCCCUCCUGACAUUACCGCAUAACUUAGAUUGCACUUAAUUAAAAUAGCUCAUUUAACUGAUGGCUCCUCAGAUGCAAUGCUGGAGGUUGUCCGCUCUUCCUGCGCAGCCCCCGCGCAGCGCGGAGGUGCAAUAAGCGGGCACGGCACGAUGCACUGCUCCUGCUCCGCCACACUGUAAGGAAGGAACUGCUGCAAACGGCAUCUGGGGGGCAAUGAAAAUGCAAAAAUCCAAUCCCCAGACCCGUGAUUGGUAUCGAUCCUGGGUAACUGGAGCUUGCUCUGCGUGGGAGCAGCUGCCCAGGAAGGCGCGCAGCCCUGUGCCCCCAUCCCAUCCAGGGUGCAGGUUUUAGCUGGGUUUAGAUGAUCAUCUCUGCCUGGGUAUAGAUGAAACAGAGGAAAGUAAUGAGAAGCUGUAAUUUGCCAAUACAUGCUGAAGGGCGAGACAGGUCGUGUCUUCAAUUACAGCUGCUCACGUGCGUGAGUCGCCAAAAUAUGCAAGGUAUUCGUUUAAUUUCUCCAUUUGAGGC
This 1893-nucleotide long non-coding RNA is filed under the name Anser brachyrhynchus (Pink-footed goose). RNAcentral's name for it is "lncRNA (ENSABRG00000014157.1)". The record is from RNAcentral. Lineage: Eukaryota; Metazoa; Chordata; Aves; Anseriformes; Anatidae.